Long non-coding RNA from Passer domesticus (house sparrow), 2005 nucleotides. RefSeq lists it as uncharacterized. The transcript is spliced from 4 exons. The record is from RefSeq and is a predicted model, not a curated record. NCBI's taxonomy places the organism in Eukaryota, Metazoa, Chordata, Aves, Passeriformes, Passeridae.
CCCAGUAGCAAACGCAGUGGGGUGAGGGGGACCUCAGAGCCCUGUCCUUGGCUGGAGCAGCUGCCACCAGCCCACACAGCCAGGGGACAUUGGCUGUCCUGCAGAAAAUUAACCUGGAUUUGAGCAACUGCUGCACCCCACUCCCACUGGCACCAAAUCCUCCCCUUUGUGCUCCUGGGGUCACAGCUCUGGCAGUGCCCGUGGCACCUCGGACACCGAGCCAGCUCUUGCUCCAGAAUUUGGGGAACAGCCAAACUCCUCCACUGGAACCAGUUUCCAUUUGGGACGUGACAUCAUUCUAAGCUGUCAUAAAGUCAAAGUGUGUGUUCUCUACACAGGACCAACAUGGAGAGCUUGUGUUGUCCUUGACAUUAUGGCCACUGCCACAAUCAUCCAUGUCCAUCCUCCCCUGGAAACACAGGACAUCAGACUCAGGAGUCUGGGUCACCUCUCACUGCUUAGGUGAUAUUUCUCCUCCACAUGGGACAGUUGGACUCAAUGGGCUGAAUUUCAUUGUCCUGGCAGCCUCCCAGUGCUGACGUGGGAGUGACAAAGAACUGUCUUUGGACAUCUCUGAUGUCCUUGAGGACGUGGGACAGACCCAUGGGGACAUUGGCAUCUGACCAUCAGCCUCCUUGGAAAGCAGUGGACAGCAAACCAGCACUGUGCUGUGAACUCACGGUCUGAGAUGAGCUAGAAGUGACUGUAGGAGAAAUCUGCCCUUGGCCAGAGGCACUGGGUGGGAUAAUCCCCUCUCUGAUGAUGAGUGUGAUGCUCCUAAAACCCCCAAGUGCUCACACCUCCAAGGACCUCCUGCUCCAGGACUGGAUGGUGCUGGAUCUGCAGGAGUCCAGGCUGGGGAAGAUUCAUUAUCACAGGAAAAGAAGAGUGUAUUUCUGAGAUGGACUGAUUUAUUCCUGCCUGGAUGGGACCUGUGGAGCUUCCCACUGAGAAGCUGUUGGGAUGAAAUCUUCCUGGCAAGAUUGGUUCAGACAAACACAAGGACACAGCUGGAAGCAGCUCCAGGGGAGGUGAAUCACACCGAGCUCUAGACACCAUCAAGACAAGAUGAAACAGCCUCAAGUUGCUCCAGGCCUCUUCUCCAUCAGUGCACAUCAGCCCUCCUCCUCCAGACCCCCAGCCCAUUAUCUCUGAUGUGUUGGCUUUCCAGAGAACUUUUGAAGUUCUUGCUGUAGUCAAGUGGACGUUGGUGGGAUUUGUGAAGUUCAGCAGCCCAAGGGCAGAGGAGAACAGGACAUUUUUCUUGAUCCUUCUCAGAUGGCUGCCCCUUCCCACAGGUAUUCCUUAGAUCAUGUCUAAGAACUGCUUCUCUGUAGACUGACAAAAGCAGAGGAAGGAAUCUCCCAUCAAUCCAUGAGGAGAUGAGAUGAGAUGAGAUGAUGAGAUGAGAUGAGAUGAGAUGAGAUGAGAUGAGAUGAGAUGAGACGAGACGAGGUUAAUUCAGGAAAAAGGUUCUUUCUCUACUCUUUGUCUCCCCUUUACUUAGGAAAGGGGCACACCUUUCCUCAAGUGAGUUAAAUGUGGGUUCAGAAGAAUGUUUUGAUGUAUUUCUGCUACAUGGAAGAAAGGAGAGAAGGUUUCCUGCCCAGCUUGGUGAGUUGGCAGUAGCUGUCCAGCCUGUCCAGCAGCUCCUUUCCAGAGAGCAUCCUCUGGACAGCAGAGAAGGGGGAUGAUCAGGGAGGGCAAGAGCAGCAUAAGCAGUGAGCAGAGAACCUCCCUCUGUCCCCAGUCCCCACAGAGCAGUCAGGAGUUCUGCUGCCAGCAGCUGUGAGAGCACCGUGGUGAGAGGCAGGAAUCAGGGGCCUCUUGGCAGGAAGAACCAAAAAUGAUGGAAAAGAUCUAGAGGCAGAGGGGGCAGGGGAAGGCAGGCCUUGGUCAGAGCUGUCUGGAAGGCAUGAGGCUCUGAAAGCCAUGUCUUUGGGCUGCUCCUCAGGGCUGAGGCAGCAGCCAGACUUCCAGGCUCAGUCCUCAAUUUCCCCGGUCA